UACGUAGGUGGCAAGCGUUGUCCGGAAUCACUGGGCGUAAAGCGCGCGCAGGCGGCGAUCUACGUCUGGGGUGAAAGCCCGGGGCUCAACCUCGGGACUGCCUUGGAUACGGGAUCGCUUGAGAAUCGGAGAGGCAAGGGGAAUUCCACGUGUAGCGGUGAAAUGCGUAGAUAUGUGGAGGAACACCAGUGGCGAAGGCGCCUUGCUGGCCGAUUUCUGACGCUGAGGCGCGAAAGCGUGGGGAGCAAACAGGAUUAGAUACCCCCGUAGUCC
This 273-nucleotide ribosomal RNA is filed under the name uncultured bacterium. RNAcentral's name for it is "partial 16S ribosomal RNA". It matches the Rfam family "Bacterial small subunit ribosomal RNA", at positions 524 to 796 of the family's 1533-position model. The record is from RNAcentral.